GAAGGUAGCUUGCACUAAGGAAGCCGUCAAAACGGUUAUACGUGUGUCAGCAGCACAGGUCAGCCCUGCUCAGUUCUGGACAGGUGUGAGAUGGGACAUAGCCGGAGCUCACAGGUGAGGAGCUGGAGUUCAUGUCUUCUCCCAUAGUCACCAAGGAAACGUGUGCCUUUUAAGGAGGGAGCCUGGGGAAACCUUUGGACCGUGUGGGAAAAGCAUAAAAUACUGAAAAUCCUAAAGUAACCAAAUCUCUGAGUGUGCAAGGCUGAAGCCAGAGAUCCCAGGAAAGUUCUGGGGUGUACAGAACAGGAGGAGCACAAGGACCGAGCAGGUGGCAAGAAAGUAAGCUCCGUGCGGCUUCCUCACCCCCUUUCCAGGGCCAGGCCCCAGAGAGCUGGAUUCCGAUCUUUCCUGUAGUUUCUUGAAAUGGUGCUGGGUUUCCCGAGGCUUCUGCCUGCUCCCAACCCCAGCCUAGAGAGCACUGAGCGACAGAUACUGUAAACAUCCUACACUCUCAGCUGUGGACAGUAAGGAGCUGGGAGAAGGCUGUUUACUCUCUCUGCCUUGGAAAUCAACUAAGGAGAAGCGGAUGGGGGGUAUUUCUAUGUCUUACAAUCAAUCCUAUCCUGUGAUCCCUUCUGAAGAAACUCUUAAGAGGAAAAAAGUGAAUUAAUGAAUUCAUGCUGAGAAAUGUAAAAUGAAUGUAUUAGUGAGCAGUUCUACAAGGAGAAAGGAAACUAAGGAAGUCACAUUUAAAAAUGUGGAAUAAUGUCUAUAGUUAUCAUUGAAGUGUCUCAGAAAGAACGAAAAAGAUUACCAGAUAGCCGAGGUGAAUGUGUUCAUAGCUGGUGCGAGGCCACACUAUAUGGAUUACUGUGACCUGGCCUAUAAAGGCAAGAAAACACUAAGUGCCUGUGCAUUAAGCCAAACAGUUCUCCAUUAACCUGAGUAGCAUUUAUACGCUAAGUUUAGCUUUUUUGGAAGCAGAAAUUGUAGUGUCCUGGAGCUUGCUACUUUAUCAGAAAUCAGAGGCAAUUUGGAACUCCGUGCUUCAAGAGUGGUAGUGACAUGUGAUAUGAAUAAAAGAUGCUAUUUAAAUCUAGAAUAUAGUUACACAUUUCAAGAAAAAUAGGAUUGUGGGUGGUGCUUGGAGGUGAGGGAUGGCCUACAAAAAGACAAUUUUCAGAAAAAUCUGCAGAACUAACUUAUAGGUUCAGCCUUAACUGGGAAAACCAUGGUCUUUAUUUCUUCAUCCAAUAAAUCAUGUACAUCAAAUAUUUAUUCAACAUCUAAUCUAUAAUUUACCUAAAUUUGAAUCUUUUCUAAUCAAUUUAAAAUAAGCCUUUUUUUCAAAGAGAUCAUUUAAAAGGAUAAGGUAUUUUUUAUAUAGCAAGCUCUUAAGAAAUUUAAUAAAUGUCUGCUUCAAAUCUUAAACAAAUUUGAGCCAAAUUGCUUGCAUUAGUCUUGGCGUAUCAUUAUAUGUGUUACUUAAACUAGAAGACAACUCUGUUGCUUUAAAAGUAUUAGAGGAACUUUUAACGUUCCUUCCUCCCCAAGUUUAGAGAAUAACACAAUAGGACAGCUUGUUUCAUGCGAACCUAAUGACAACAACAAAACUAUAUAAACACGACUCUAGUGUGUGAUUUCAAGGAAGCGUUUGGACAGGCUCGUCUUGCAGCAGUAGCAGGCAUUGUUAAAGUGCUUGCUGAGCAACUUGGUUUGGUUGAGUCAUUAACCUGCCUAGAUUUUGCCCACAGGCUGAAGGAAACCCUCCUGGAGACAAGUCACAAAGAUGUUUGAUAUUUUGCUUCCUGCCAGGAGAUGUGGAUUUUAUGGAUGAGAAAUCUGUGGUGAGAGAUAUUAAGAAAAUUACCCCAGGUAUGUUUACAAGCCUUUAGAACUGGUAUUUCAGACUUUGGCAACACAGCACCAAAAAUGACCUCCAAACCACACAAUGAUAUGCACACUGUCCUCUAAUUUAUUGUCUUACUUUUAUUUAUUAUUUAUCAUCCCCAUUUGGGGGAGGUGGAGGCCGAAGUUGAAAGAAUUAAGAGACUGUUGUGGUCACUGAAGUUGUUUACAAGUACAUGUAUUCUGGGUCUCCUCUCCUGGCACAUUAAAAGAAAAAAAGCCUCUACUCCAUGACCUCUGAGGUUAGGUGUCCAUGUGUGACUCACUUCCAUCAAUAAAAUGUGAACAGAAGUGACAGGAAGUAUUAAGAGCUUGUAUACAAGCCAGGCAUGGUGGCACACACCUGUAAUCACAGGUACUCAGGAGGAUUGCAAGUUCAAGAGACAGUCUGAAAAUAAGAAAAAGGAUUGGAGAUGUAGCUCAGUGGUGGAGCGCCCCAGACUUGAUCUCCUGUAGUGCAGGAAGGGUGUGUGUGCAAUUAGCUUGUGCACUUCCCUCGAGCUUGGCUCAGCUCCUGUCAAAGCAGAGUCUGUGACACUCUGGAUCUUUCAGUGACUGUUGAGCAGUCCCUCUCUUUGUCUGGCCUUGACAUACAAGCAAAUGGGUAAAAUCCUAAGAUUCAGUGGGAGCAGAGAAAGGUAGGAGGUAAUGACCACAACAUAAAAUAGCCUAAACUAACAAACUCACCUAAGUACACAUAAAUGCAUAAACUUCUAUAGCUCAUUGGUGCCAGAUAUAUGUCUGGAAUCCAAGUCUCUGACUUAACAGUUCAUAGGAUUGUUUGGUUUUGUUCUGUUUUAACCUGUGUUUUGGUAUUAUAUGACCUGCAAGAACCCAAACUCCAUUCUUUUGACUGCUUUCUGUCUAGCAAUAAUGAAAGUGCAUAAAACGUUCAGCCCAAUGUCUAUGGUUCGUCCAGGACUAAGAACAUGCAAAAGAAAAAUCUCUCAUUCUUUGGCCCAUGUGUUUUGUCUGGAGCUUAAUACCAUGAUUUGUAGUCUCAAAAAAAACUAUUCUGACUUUUAAGUUCUGGGAUUCAAGCUCUAGCCACAGACUAUCACCAGUAAUGUUAGCUAAAGGGGCUAAUUAGUCAUGAAUGGUACUCACAGUACACACAGUUAUCAUGGUACCUACCAGGUGAUACCUGCCUUCAUUCCCUUGUGAGUUAUCAUUCACCCAAAUCCUCUGACUCUGUAAUCUCAAGUAAUAGGAUUUGAUAGGUAAAUAUAAAGUAAUACAUUUUUUUUUUUUCACAAACGGCACAUUUCCCAGGUUGGAGUGUUUAAAUUCUGAACUGCAGGGAUUUCUAACUCUUAUCAACAGAAUCCAUAAGACAAUCUAGCUAUAUAGCACUGUUAUGACAAUGAAUGACAUAGACCGCAUGAAAUUCUGAACAUCUUCCCUGAGAACUAUCUUCCUAAGAGCCACAUGAAUAGAAGAGUUGGAGAGCCCUGUCUCUUGCAUUUUUUGAGUUACUGAAUGACAACGGUUGUAAGUCCCCUGUGUUCACUGAAGUAACCUAUGAUUGGAUCACAGUCCAUUGGGAACACAUUGGCAGCCAUCUGGCAAAUGGACUGACAUUCCGCCUGGGGAAAAGGAAAAUAAAACAGAGAUAAAUUAAAACGUUGAUCCAUGCUGAGGAAAAGCAAGUGGAAAGCAGAUGUUAAAGGUGACUUUGGCAAAAUUCAACUGAGGACUUCUCAGUAAAAAAAAAAAAAAAAAAAAAACUGUAGAAAAUAGCAAUGGACACGGCAUUUCCACUGGCCUCAAGAAAAAGGUCGGGUACCCACUAACUGCCCUAUAAUCUGGUAGUAUCUGAAAGCAACACUCAAUGUAGUUAGACUAGGGAAAAUAACCAAAGGUAUAGGAAUAGGAAAUGAGUUUGCUCAAAUUUGUAGAUGACAUUAUAGCAUGUGUGGAAAAUCCUAGAGAAUCAAUGAUAAAAUGAACUCAAUAAAAAAAUCAGUAGGGUAGCAGGAUGAAAAAUUAACAUGUAAAACUCAGUAUCACUUGUAUGCACAAACAGGUACUAAUUAGAAGAUACAAUGAAUGCAAAAAAAAAAAUCACUGUAGUAAAUGGUAAUAAAAAUCAUGACAAUCAAAAUAUUUAGGAACAAACUUACCAAAAAGUGCCCAGAAACUAUGUGAAGAAAAUACUUCUAUGAGACACAAAAAUAAGCUUGAAAAGAUGGAGACAGAUGCUUUAUUAGCACAUCUCAGCAUUAUCAGGUUGUCAGUUCUCACUGUUACGUUACAAAAGCAACCCGAGUAAAAAUUCCAGUGGACUUUAAAUACCCUAUGCAAAGUGAACAUAGCGUGACAGAGAAGUGGGACAAAGACAGAAGAGGCAGGGAGAUGCGCAGAGAGAUUCCAGGCGUGGAAACAGCUUGCCUGCCGUGCUGCUGGGGAUGGAGGGAGGGGGCCCCAGUACAGCAACAGGACCAGAUUCUGAAAGGUGAGAAGCAAAGCCAGCCUGUGCCCAGCAAAGAAGUGAGAACUUCUCAUUUCCCAUGGGCAGCUGAGCUCUACCACAAACCACAAUCCUGGAAGUUCUUUCCCUGAUAACAUUGAUUUGGCCUUGGGGAACUAAUGCAGAGAAGCAGCCAUGCACACCAGACGUCUAUGGAAGUACCGCAUGAAGACACAGCAGAAGGCCGGGGAUAUAGCUUAGUGGCAUAAGCGCCUGCCUGGCAAGCACAAGGUCCUGAGUUCGAUUCCCAGUACCAAAAAAAGAAAACAGCAGAACACCACAAGCACUGCUGACCUCACACCCACGCUGCAAACCGGAGGUGACAUGUAUACACUCAUUGUGUUAUGGACAAAAAAUUAAUUACACUGAUGUUAACUGAAUUUUUAAAAAGUGAGAAGAGCCAAGAAAGUUUUGGAAGAACGAUCACGAAGGAAAGUUGGCUUCUCCAGAUUGAAAAGUUUCCAAAGCUGAAUAAUGAAAAUGGAGUAGUAUUAUUCUCAGGAAUAGACAAACACAUUGAUGAAAUAGAAAUAUGAGCCUACAUAUGAGAUUGUGUAUGUUAUAAAGAUCUUUAUAAGUUGAUAGAUACAAGGACUGGGGUAGCAGUGAGCAAACCAAACACCCAGCAGUUAGUUGGUCUUGGGUAAAAGGAACCAAGCCUUCUGGGAGAAAGCAGAUUCAAGGAGUAGCUCAGUUUCUAAUGAAAAGAUCUGCCUGAGGCAUUCAACAUGUUUUCCUCUUCUAUUCAAGUCCUAGCAAGCCAGCCAUAGUUAACUUCUACCUAGUCUUUGUUGUUGGUUUUAUUUUUAUUUUUUUAACUGAUACAUAAAAAAUUGUAUACAUGAAUGUGCUGCCACAUUACGUUUUGAUACACAUAUACAUUGUGUAGUAUUUAAAUCACCACCUGCUGUUGAAAGAGAUUGUCAGUCGAUCUUCCUGGGCUUCCAUGAAGUGUAUAGCAAUCUGCAGCACAUUAAAGAACUUCCACCAGUCUCAAA
This is a long non-coding RNA of Chinchilla lanigera (long-tailed chinchilla), 5376 nucleotides long. RefSeq lists it as uncharacterized. The record is from RefSeq and is a predicted model, not a curated record. NCBI's taxonomy places the organism in Eukaryota, Metazoa, Chordata, Mammalia, Rodentia, Chinchillidae. The transcript has 4 exons.